RNAcentral lists this ribosomal RNA (156 nucleotides) under uncultured bacterium. RNAcentral's name for it is "partial 16S ribosomal RNA". It matches the Rfam family "Bacterial small subunit ribosomal RNA", at positions 355 to 509 of the family's 1533-position model. The record is from RNAcentral.
UGAGGAAUAUUGGUCAAUGGGCGAUAGCCUGAACCAGCCAAGUCGCGUGAGGGAAGACGGCCCUAUGGGUUGUAAACCUCUUUUGUCGGGGAGCAAGGUCGCUACGUGUAGUGAUUUGAGAGUACCCGAAGAAAAAGCAUCGGCUAACUCCGUGCC